Molecule: ribosomal RNA, 641 nt
Filed under: uncultured bacterium
Lineage: Bacteria
Description: bacterial SSU rRNA
Rfam family: Bacterial small subunit ribosomal RNA
Source: RNAcentral
GAGUUUGAUCAUGGCUCAGGAUGAACGCUAGCGGCAGGCUUAACACAUGCAAGUCGAGGGGUAUAGUUCUUCGGAAUUAGAGACCGGCGCACGGGUGCGUAACGCGUAUGCAAUCUACCUUUCACAGAGGGAUAGCCCAGAGAAAUUUGGAUUAAUACCUCAUAGUAUAACGACUCUGCAUGGAGAUGUUAUUAAAGUCACAACGGUGAAAGAUGAGCAUGCGUCCCAUUAGCUAGUUGGUAAGGUAACGGCUUACCAAGGCUACGAUGGGUAGGGGUCCUGAGAGGGAGAUCCCCCACACUGGUACUGAGACACGGACCAGACUCCUACGGGAGGCAGCAGUGAGGAAUAUUGGACAAUGGGCGCAAGCCUGAUCCAGCCAUGCCGCGUGCAGGAUGACGGUCCUAUGGAUUGUAAACUGCUUUUGCACAGGAAGAAACAACGCUACGUGUAGCGUCUUGACGGUACUGUGAGAAUAAGGAUCGGCUAACUCCGUGCCAGCAGCCGCGGUAAUACGGAGGAUCCAAGCGUUAUCCGGAAUCAUUGGGUUUAAAGGGUCCGUAGGCGGUUUAGUAAGUCAGUGGUGAAAGCCCAUCGCUCAACGGUGGAACGGCCAUUGAUACUGCUAGACUUGAAUUAUU